Molecule: long non-coding RNA, 532 nt
Organism: Acanthopagrus latus (yellowfin seabream)
Lineage: Eukaryota; Metazoa; Chordata; Actinopteri; Spariformes; Sparidae
Exons: 2
Source: RefSeq, a predicted model, not a curated record
AUCACUGCAUGCCUAAACUAUGGAACUGACAGACUGUCACAUUCCAUCUCACAAGCUCAUGGGCACUGAUUACACGCUGUCCACAAACUCGAGCAUGAACCUGUCUUAUUAAUGUUUAGAUGAUCCACCCAGACUCUGUUUUUCUUCAAAGCACUCGGUGCAACGCUGCAGGCUGUUGUCUCUGCAGCUCAAAGAUAACGGUUCCCCAGGCCAGUGAUGUGACCUACGUUCUGUCUGGAGAGACGGGCUACCUUGGCUGUAAAGUCGUAUGUAAAGGCCAACUUGAUGAGCUCAGGCGCCGUAUGUGGGAUGGUGGGAGGAUUGUGGGUCGCCAUCGCUUCCUUCUCCAGAUAUGCAUCGGCCAACUUCUGAAAGGAAGAGUAGGUCAUCCGCUGGAAGAAGCCGCUCAGGGUGGGGUUAUCUUUCAGCUGGAGGGAGAUAAGGAGAUGACGGCUGUCAGCAGAUUCAACAUACUUUGACCUGUGUGAAUCUUUAAUGCUAAUAAACAUGGAUAAAUCCACAGUGACAACAC